UAACGCUACAUCUGCUACCGCGUUCUUUCUGUCUGGUGGAUCAGGCCGCUCAAAAAGCUGAUUUUAGAAACAGGCGGAAGACCUGCAGCGGCAGAAGUCGUAUGGUCGUGCUGUAGUAGGGAGCAGGGAAGUGUCUUAGAAGAAACUUCCUGUUGGAAUGGCUCACAUCAAUGCAGUUGCAGCUCUGUGAGUUUCCAUGCUGCUGUUUGCUCUUCCUGCACAGUAUUUCAUAUCCCAGUGGUAUGGAACCGACUCUGUUGAACGCGUCCAAAUAAUAGAGAGGAUAACUGCCUCUUGGAGCUGCUCUACAAGAUCUUACUUGACUUUGGACAUGUGGUCAAAUCAUUUAAAGCUGUGGCAAUCGAAGACAAGGAUAUAAAAAAUACUCCUCACUAUUGAAUUCUAAUUAACAAAGCAAAUGGAUUUGGCAAAUCUACAGCUUAUGUUCCCGAGGAAGAGAUAACAAUUAUUAUGGGAUUAGAGAUGGUAUUUAUUUUUUAUUCAGUUGCAACUUGAUUGUUAUCCUGUACGUUUAAAAAGUUGGAUGACCUUUGGCUUAAUAGAUACUACUAGGUUGCAAAGUUAGUGAAAACUAAUAGAGAAAGCAGAUAAACAAAUUACUGCUGUACUGUUAAGCAUGGGUUCUUGGAAACUGAAAAAUGACCAAACUCAAGUACUACCCACUAUCCAACUGCUGAGUUUUGUAAGUGUUUUAGCAAUUUGAUUUCUGUUAUGUACAGGCUGUUGCAGACACACACUUUUGUUUUAGGAUUUUUGCUGGAUCUACCAAAGUAUGUUGGUUUCUCAAUUCUUCUCUGAAAAAUCUGCAUUUCAAACAGCUCCUGCUCAGCUGCUGCCCAGACCAAAGAGUAUCUCCUUUCUUAACUGCAAAACUCUUUGGGAGCCAAAAAAAUCUGCUUUGCGUAUCAGGGUUAGAGUAGCUUUUGAUUUCCAUCUUAUGCAAUGCACACCGGAUUUUUAAAUUAGUUUUGAGAUUUUUAUCCAGAAAACAGCCUUCAGGUAUG
Long non-coding RNA from Empidonax traillii (willow flycatcher), 1025 nucleotides. RefSeq lists it as uncharacterized. The record is from RefSeq and is a predicted model, not a curated record. The transcript has 4 exons. NCBI's taxonomy places the organism in Eukaryota, Metazoa, Chordata, Aves, Passeriformes, Tyrannidae.